UAAUCUUCAGUAAAACAUACAUAAAUUUUGAUCUAAUCUAUGAUCGGCCUCAAACUAUAAUAUUUGGAAAGCUAAUUAAAUUAUGUAUCUUGCAUCCAAAUUUCAGCCCAAUGAUACUGUGAGAAAACCCCAUUUGUUGCUAAAUAUCGGACGCAUCUGCAAAAUUAUGCAUUUUUAAUUUUCUUUUUGCAUCUAAUUCAACCUCUUUUGUUCCAAAUAGACUUAAACAUGUAAAAACUCCAAAAUAACACUAAAAGACACUAAAACACUGAUUUGGC
RNAcentral lists this long non-coding RNA (278 nucleotides) under Brassica rapa (field mustard). Its description in RNAcentral is "long non-coding RNA (BRAP_LNC006401)". Lineage: Eukaryota; Viridiplantae; Streptophyta; Magnoliopsida; Brassicales; Brassicaceae. The record is from RNAcentral.